RNAcentral lists this ribosomal RNA (378 nucleotides) under uncultured Acidobacteriota bacterium. RNAcentral's name for it is "bacterial SSU rRNA". It matches the Rfam family "Bacterial small subunit ribosomal RNA", at positions 141 to 500 of the family's 1533-position model. The record is from RNAcentral. Lineage: Bacteria; Pseudomonadati; Acidobacteriota.
GAAUAACACCGGGAAACUGGUGCUAAUACCGCAUGACAUCUUCGGGUCACACUGAAGAUCAAAGCCUUUCUACUGCAAGGCCUGGCGCUUGGAGAGGAGCCCGCGUCCGAUUAGCUAGUUGGUGGGGUAAUGGCCUACCAAGGCUUCGAUCGGUAGCCGGCCUUAGAGGGCGGACGGCCACACUGGGACUGAGACACGGCCCAGACUCCUACGGGAGGCAGCAGUGGGGAAUUUUUCGCAAUGGGGGAAACCCUGACGAAGCAACGCCGCGUGGAGGAUGAAGGUCUUCGGAUUGUAAACUCCUGUCGACCGGGACGAAAGUAGUCUGACCCAACACGUCAGGCUAUUGACUGUACCGGUGGAGGAAGCCACGGCUAA